GCCGCUGUGGCGAAAUUGGUAUACGCACAUGACUCAAAAUCAUGCGGGAAACCAUGCCGGUUCGAGUCCGGCCAGCGGCA
Molecule: transfer RNA, 80 nt
Filed under: Eubacteriales bacterium
Lineage: Bacteria; Bacillati; Bacillota; Clostridia; Eubacteriales
Description: tRNA-Leu
Rfam family: tRNA
About the family: Transfer RNA (tRNA) molecules are approximately 80 nucleotides in length.
Source: RNAcentral